AGAGUUUGAUCAUGGCUCAGAUUGAACGCUGGCGGCAGGCCUAACACAUGCAAGUCGAACGGUAACAGGAAGCAGCUUGCUGCUUCGCUGACGAGUGGCGGACGGGUGAGUAAUGUCUGGGAAACUGCCUGAUGGAGGGGGAUAACUACUGGAAACGGUGGCUAAUACCGCAUAACGUCGCAAGACCAAAGAGGGGGACCUUCGGGCCUCUUGCCAUCAGAUGUGCCCAGAUGGGAUUAGCUAGUUGGUGAGGUAACGGCUCACCAAGGCGACGAUCCCUAGCUGGUCUGAGAGGAUGACCAGCCACACUGGAACUGAGACACGGUCCAGACUCCUACGGGAGGCAGCAGUGGGGAAUAUUGCACAAUGGGCGCAAGCCUGAUGCAGCCAUGCCGCGUGUAUGAAGAAGGCCUUCGGGUUGUAAAGUACUUUCAGCGGGGAGGAAGGUGUUGUGGUUAAUAACCACAGCAAUUGACGUUACCCGCAGAAGAAGCACCGGCUAACUCCGUGCCAGCAGCCGCGGUAAUACGGAGGGUGCAAGCGUUAAUCGGAAUUACUGGGCGUAAAGCGCACGCAGGCGGUCUGUCAAGUCGGAUGUGAAAUCCCCGGGCUCAACCUGGGAACUGCAUUCGAAACUGGCAGGCUUGAGUCUUGUAGAGGGGGGUAGAAUUCCAGGUGUAGCGGUGAAAUGCGUAGAGAUCUGGAGGAAUACCGGUGGCGAAGGCGGCCCCCUGGACAAAGACUGACGCUCAGGUGCGAAAGCGUGGGGAGCAAACAGGAUUAGAUACCCUGGUAGUCCACGCCGUAAACGAUGUCUACUUGGAGGUUGUGCCCUUGAGGCGUGGCUUCCGGAGCUAACGCGUUAAGUAGACCGCCUGGGGAGUACGGCCGCAAGGUUAAAACUCAAAUGAAUUGACGGGGGCCCGCACAAGCGGUGGAGCAUGUGGUUUAAUUCGAUGCAACGCGAAGAACCUUACCUGGUCUUGACAUCCACGGAAGUUUUCAGAGAUGGAAUGUGCCUUCGGGAACCGUGAGACAGGUGCUGCAUGGCUGUCGUCAGCUCGUGUUGUGAAAUGUUGGGUUAAGUCCCGCAACGAGCGCAACCCUUAUCCUUUGUUGCCAGCGGUUAGGCCGGGAACUCAAAGGAGACUGCCAGUGAUAAACUGGAGGAAGGUGGGGAUGACGUCAAGUCAUCAUGGCCCUUACGACCAGGGCUACACACGUGCUACAAUGGCGCAUACAAAGAGAAGCGACCUCGCGAGAGCAAGCGGACCUCAUAAAGUGCGUCGUAGUCCGGAUUGGAGUCUGCAACUCGACUCCAUGAAGUCGGAAUCGCUAGUAAUCGUGGAUCAGAAUGCCACGGUGAAUACGUUCCCGGGCCUUGUACACACCGCCCGUCACACCAUGGGAGUGGGUUGCAAAAGAAGUAGGUAGCUUAACCUUCGGGAGGGCGCUUACCACUUUGUGAUUCAUGACUGGGGUGAAGUCGUAACAAGGUAACCGUAGGGGAACCUGCGGUUG
This 1521-nucleotide ribosomal RNA is filed under the name Salmonella enterica subsp. enterica serovar Daytona. RNAcentral's name for it is "bacterial SSU rRNA". It matches the Rfam family "Bacterial small subunit ribosomal RNA". The record is from RNAcentral. Lineage: Bacteria; Pseudomonadati; Pseudomonadota; Gammaproteobacteria; Enterobacterales; Enterobacteriaceae.